This 525-nucleotide ribosomal RNA is filed under the name Mycoleptodonoides sharmae. Its description in RNAcentral is "partial 18S small subunit ribosomal RNA". It matches the Rfam family "Bacterial small subunit ribosomal RNA", at positions 360 to 952 of the family's 1533-position model. The record is from RNAcentral. Lineage: Eukaryota; Fungi; Basidiomycota; Agaricomycetes; Polyporales.
AAUAUUAGUCAAUGCUCGCAAGAGUGAACUAGCUAACUGAAAUCAUGAGUGUGUCACUUGUGAUGUCGUAAGGGAAGAUAAUGACAUUACCUUACUAAUAGUGUCGUCCAAACUUUGGUGCCAGAAGACUCGGUAAGGCCAGAGACACAAACGUUAAUCACAUUAAACAGGCGUAAAGGGUUUGUAGGCCGCUUUAAAAAUAAAUUAAUUAAAGCUAGAAUCAAAUAUAGGUUAUAGUGUAUAAUACUUAGAGGAGGGCUUAUAUCCUUAGAUCCUAAGUGGAAUACUAAGGGCGAAGGCCACUUUCCAUUAAUGAUUGACGCUGAUAAACGAAGGUUAGGGUAGGAAAUAGGAUUAGAGACCCCGGUACCCCUUUCAGUAAACGAUGAAUGGUAGUCAUUAGUUUAAAAACUAGAGGCGAAGUUAACGCGAUAACCAUUCCGCCUUGUAAGUACAACUGCAAAGUAGAAAACAAAAAAAUUAGUCGGUCUCGAAGCAAACGAAGUGAAGCAUGUUAUUUAAUUC